UCGAACGGUAACAUAGAAGCUUGCUUCUGAUGACGAGUGGCGCACGGGUGCGUAACGCGUAUGCAACCUACCUUUUACAGAGGGAUAGCCCAGAGAAAUUUGGAUUAACACCUCAUAGUAUUGUUAAUUGGCAUCGAUUAACAAUUAAAACUACGGUGGUAAAAGAUGGGCAUGCGUUCUAUUAGCUAGUUGGUAUGGUAACGGCAUACCAAGGCGACGAUAGAUAGGGGCCCUGAGAGGGGGAUCCCCCACACUGGUACUGAGACACGGACCAGACUCCUACGGGAGGCAGCAGUGAGGAAUAUUGGUCAAUGGAGGGAACUCUGAACCAGCCAUGCCGCGUGCAGGAUGACUGCCCUAUGGGUUGUAAACUGCUUUUAUACAGGAAGAAACACUAGUACGUGUACUAGCUUGACGGUACUGUAAGAAUAAGGAUCGGCUAACUCCGUGCCAGCAGCCGCGGUAAUACGGAGGAUCCAAGCGUUAUCCGGAAUCAUUGGGUUUAAAGGGUCCGUAGGUGGAUAAUUAAGUCAGAGGUGAAAUCCUGCAGCUCAACUGUAGAAUUGCCUUUGAUACUGGUUGUCUUGAGUUAUUGUGAAGUGGUUAGAAUAUGUAGUGUAGCGGUGAAAUGCAUAGAUAUUACAUAGAAUACCAAUUGCGAAGGCAGAUCACUAACAAUAUACUGACACUGAUGGACGAAAGCGUGGGUAGCGAACGGGAUUAGAU
RNAcentral lists this ribosomal RNA (726 nucleotides) under uncultured bacterium. RNAcentral describes it as "bacterial SSU rRNA". It matches the Rfam family "Bacterial small subunit ribosomal RNA", at positions 62 to 783 of the family's 1533-position model. The record is from RNAcentral.